Molecule: transfer RNA, 83 nt
Filed under: Polynucleobacter kasalickyi
Lineage: Bacteria; Pseudomonadati; Pseudomonadota; Betaproteobacteria; Burkholderiales; Burkholderiaceae
Also listed under: 1 other name
Description: Polynucleobacter sp. VK13 tRNA
Rfam family: tRNA
About the family: Transfer RNA (tRNA) molecules are approximately 80 nucleotides in length.
Source: Rfam by way of RNAcentral
GCCGCGGUGGUGAAAUUGGUAGACACAGGAGACUCAAAAUCUCCCGCCCAAAAGGUGUGACGGUUCGAGUCCGUCCCGCGGCA